This is a long non-coding RNA of Cucumis melo (muskmelon), 2222 nucleotides long. RefSeq lists it as uncharacterized. Lineage: Eukaryota; Viridiplantae; Streptophyta; Magnoliopsida; Cucurbitales; Cucurbitaceae. The transcript is spliced from 5 exons. The record is from RefSeq and is a predicted model, not a curated record.
UGGAAAUUAAGUGUAAAUAUAAAUAUAUAUAUUUAUAUAUUAAAUAGUUUUAUUAAAUUAAUUAGAGAAAAGAAAGAAAAGAAAGGACAAAAAGAAGAAAAGGAGAAGAAAAUUUCAUUUUCUCUUUUCUUCUUCUUCUUCUCUUCCCCUCACCGCCAAGUUUGAAGACAUCCAAGUUUCCUUUAUUUUUUUUUCUUUUUCCUUCUUCAAUUUGCAGAGAACUUCUAAGAGAGAGUUUGGAAGAAGAAGAGAAAUUUUACUAGAAUUUUUAGGUUGAAGAAGAGGAGGAGAACUCAAGCAAAGUGUAUCAAUGGCUGAAUUUUAGUUCAUUCUGCACAUCACUGGUUUUUAAUUCGGUUUGAACUCUUCAAAAGGAAUUAAGAGGGCAGUUGAUUUUCACUCGAAAUCAGGAGGUCUCUGGUUUUUCUUGUAUUUCAGAGUGUAUCGGUGGAGUUAGAAUUUCUAUUUGGAACAAGUUAAAGAGGUCGUGUGCGCGCGAUUCUGGAAGUGGUUCUGUUUUGAGGGUUAUAUGUGUUUAUGCACGGGGAAUCAGAUUUAUAUGUCUUCAGGCCGAGAAGAAUUAAACCGAGCUUAUAGACCAAGGAUCUAGCCCAAGACUGUAGAGAUCGACUUCCCGGUGCCUGAUAGACUGCCUUAGUCUUCGGAAGCUUCAUUAUCGAUUGCCAGUACGUGUUUUGAGUUGGGCAUAAAGUCUGUUGUGUUGUGAUGUAUUCACACCCUUGUAUGUUAUAGAUACUCCACAGUUUGUAUAAGCUUUAGGAGCUGUAGUUGUGUAAAUUUUGUUAGUUAUAUUUUGAUUAAGGUGUCUUUAGGUUUACUCGUGAAAUCGGUAAAUUUUGAGGUACACUUCAUGUAUGUGUUUGACUAGCUGUGUUUGACUAGCCUAGGAUCCGCUGUGUUUUGUGGCAUGUACAAUAGUUUAUAUACUAGAUUGGCAAGUUCAUCACAUGAAAGUUUUAAGCAGAGUCGAUAGAUACAGGUACAGAAAAACGUUGUUCGUCGGCUUCACGCCAUCUUUCGGUCUAAGGUAGCAGGUAGUCCGGGAGGGGGUGUGACAAUUCCCAUGUGGGUUACUACGUUUCUAGUUUCGGUUCGAGGUCCAGUAGUAAGAAAGCCCUUACCUGAGAUGUAGCUAAAAUCUCGUUCAAGUCCGUGUCUAAACGAAUCGACCUAAACACAAACAUACGGGUUUAACAAUGACAUCACCACAAUCCACAAUACAAAACGCUCCAAAGCAACAACUACCGACUUACCCAAGCAGAGGAGAGUUGGCUUCUACUGCGCUUACCGUAAAAUUCCUGAAUUCGAGCGUCACCUCCCCAACACCUUCAGGGGAUCAACGGAUAACCCAAUAAAUCAAUUCAAAAUUUUAAUCCGAUAUUUAGGCUCUCACUGAAUAUUGAAAACAUUAGAAAUUCCUUACAUUGUCCUUACCCAGACUCACCGGGACUCAGCACGAAUGGACACGACUUAAGUGGCUCGGUGGAUCAAGAGAUUGGCUUGGAAAAUUGACUUGGCUUGGGAGGCGGCUCGACUUGACUCUUGGCUCACGGCUUGGCUCGGCUCGGCUUAGUUCUGUUAUCGACUCGCGGCUCGACUCGGCUCUCGACUCGUGGCUCGGCUCUCGGCUCGCGGCUCGGCUCAGCUUGGUUCAGCUAUGGCUCGGCUCGGCUCGAUCGACUCGGCUUGCUGGACUCGGCUCGACCGAUCAUUUGUAGCUGGCGCACACGCGAACAUCUAGUUUCCUGCUUCACGCGACGACGACCGAAGAGGGACGCACGGUGAACUCUAGACUGCAUCAGGUGGUGUACGAAGGAGGAAAUGUGACGUACGGUUGAGGCAGAGGCGGCCGACAGACCUGGGGGCGGCACAAGAAGGAGAGAAAAUGUGAGAUGGGCCGCCGUGUGACUGCACGUCGACGUUGUGAAGCCAACGACGAUGGAGACGGAGACAGAGACGAAGACGGGGUGAUUACCACAGAGACAGAGACGGAGAGACUACCACAGAGACGGAGACGGAGACGGGGCGAUUACAACAAAGACGAAGACUACCACAGAGACGGAGAUGAGGCGUUUACCACAGAGACGGAGACGGAGAGACUACCACAGAGAUGGAGACGGUGUCGUCGGCUAUUGGGAGAAGAAAUGAAGUAAAGACAAAAAAAGAAGACAUGGGGGGGAGCGGCGCGCGGGUUUUAGGGU